AGCUGCGUUUGAAUUCAAACACACACUCCACCAUUGUUUCUAAUCUCACCGCUACAGUACCCAAUCUCACCGCUACAGUAACUAAUCUCACCGCCACCGCUAUUUUUAACCUCACCGAAGGGAAACACACCGCCCAUCCAAACUAGCCUUUAACCUUCCCUCGUUCUUCUCUUCUUUUGUCGCGUCGCCAAAAUUCAUUUCAACGGUGGACCUGUUAAAGCAAAUCCUUUGUUCUCGGCUUGACUUCAUUCCCCCGGUCCAUCAUCUUCUGAGUUCCUCCGAGCUUUGUUAACCCAUUUCCUUUUUCGAAGUUAGCCCAUCAAACAUCCAUAUAUUUUUAUUAAUCAAUUCUUCUUUGGUCUCUAGCUACGAUAGGUUCAACCUCUAAUGGAGUUUCUUCUACCUAGAAAGUCAAAAAAUUACUUCCUCUGCCCCAUGCAGCCAUCGCAUACGCCGCUCCGUUGGCUUCUCGUGUUUUUUAAUGACAAUCCUUGAGUCCCCUUCCAUGAUAACAUCGCUAAAUCCUAUUUCUUCAGCAAAAACGGCUCCUUUAAGGCAUGUAUACGCUUCAGCAAUUGUUAGAUAUCUAACGUUGUGGAUCAGUGUCAUUUGCUGGAGGACUUGUUUUGCGAGGAUGUAGUCUCGGAAGAUGUAGCUUACAAACUCAUUUUCCCAUAGAUUAAUUCGAACAUUGCUGAGAAUUUUUAGACUCCAAAUUUUUGUAAAAUAACUUCUAGUUAGAUCCUGGUCUGUUGAAAUUUCAUUUCCCAUCAUAUUUAAAUCUUCUAAGACACACCUUUUGUAACCGUUUUUUACCGUGUAUUCUCUCAACCUGUCACCUUACUAAAACCUUAUAUCUAGUUGCAGAGCGUUCCCCAAAGGAAUGGAUCCAAUCUCACUAGCUUGUUCUUCUGGGAAAAACCCUCUCAAGGUUUCCUCCUUUCAGGAAACCAUGGAUUGUUUCAUAUGUUAACUGAUCUACUAUCUCUGAUUCUUCAACCCAUUCUUGAUUCCAAAAUACUCCGAGCGUUCCAUAUGCUUCUCUAGGUAAACGAAGGGUAAGCCCCUAGUUCGGCAUUCAAAAAGUCACUUCAUGGGUAGUAUUUAGAUUUCAUUACUUGUACAAGUAAGCUUGUGGGAUUGGUGAUUAGCUUCCAUCCUUGCUUUGCCAACAAGGCAUUAUUAAAAUUUGAUAAAUCUCUAAAUCUCAUCCCCCAUUGCGCCUUUAAGAUGCAUAAUGACAACCACCAACACUAGUAAAUACCCUUAUCCGUUUUUAAAUUUUACCACCAGAAUUUACACAUAAUAUUCUCUAAUUCCCGGCAUAAAGAACUUGGUAAUCUGCAACAUUGCAUAGCAUAGAUUGGAAUGACUUGUAAGACUGAUUUGAUAAAAACCUCUUUUCCUCCAAUAGGCAAAUUGCGAAUGCUUCAGUUCUUCACUUUUGUCAAAAAAAAUUAUUUAUUUCCACAAAAGCAUUUCUCUUUCGCCUCCCCACCAUUGUCAGUAAUCCAAGGUAUUUCUCCGGAUUGUUGGUCAUACGAACCCCCAACUCCCUUCCUAUUUGCAAUUUAACCGUAUCGUUGACAUUGUUGCUAAAGUAAAUUAAUGACUUUUUAAAAUUCACCAUCUGUCCCGAUAUUUUUUCAUAGGCAUUAAUAACUGAUCGAAUUGCUAAAGCUCCUUCCACUGUUGCUUUUCCAAAUAAGAUACUGUCGUCAGCCAAAAAAAGGUGGGUUAUUGACAAACACCCUCUAUCUAUUUUCCCCCCUUAUAUUUUUCUUUCCCUUUUUUACAAUAUUAAGAAGUCUUGAAAAGCCCUCAGCACAAAUGAUAAAUAAAUAUGGGCUUAAGGGAUCUCCUUGCCUUAUUCCUCUAGUAGGACUGAAACCAACCCCUUUCCUCCAUUAAGCACAACGGAGUAUGAAACGCUUUUGAUGCACCCACUUGUCACAAAACCAAGCUUUCCCAUCAUAUUUUCAACGAAAAUCUACUUAACCUUACCGUAUGCUUUGCUCAUGUCUAGUUUUAGAGCAAAAUUACCAAUUCAUAUCUUUUCUUCUUAAAAGAGUACAAUAAUUCAUAUGCCACUAAUAUGUUAUCUGUAAGCUGUCUAUCUAGGACAAAAGUGCCUUGUGCAUCAUCAAUGUAGUAGCCAGGAGCCUUCCUAAAUCUAUUGACUAUAUAUCUUUUGAGAUUAUUUUAUAAACUACACUGUAAAGG
Gossypium raimondii (Peruvian cotton) is the source of this 2223-nucleotide long non-coding RNA. RefSeq lists it as uncharacterized. Lineage: Eukaryota; Viridiplantae; Streptophyta; Magnoliopsida; Malvales; Malvaceae. The record is from RefSeq and is a predicted model, not a curated record. The transcript has 4 exons.